RNAcentral lists this ribosomal RNA (3328 nucleotides) under Ambystoma mexicanum (axolotl). RNAcentral's name for it is "eukaryotic LSU rRNA". It matches the Rfam family "Eukaryotic large subunit ribosomal RNA". Lineage: Eukaryota; Metazoa; Chordata; Amphibia; Caudata; Ambystomatidae. The record is from RNAcentral.
ACCACGGCCUCAGAUCAGACGUGGUGACCUGCUGAAUUUAAGCAUAUUACUAAGCAGAGGAAAAUAAACUAACCAGGAUUCCCUCAGUAACAGCCAUUGAAAAGGGAAGAGCCCAGCGCUGAAUCCCCAUUCAGCGGCAGGCGUGGGAAAUGUGGCGUACAGAAGACCGACUCCCCGGCAUCGCUCAGGGGGGUCAAGUCCUUCGGAUCGAGUCUCACCACGCAGAUGGUGUUAGGCCGAUAGCGCCCUCUUGCACACCAGGAUCAGGUCUUCUUGGAGUCAGGUUGCUUGGGAAUGCACCAACGCGUGUGGCAAACUCUGUCUAAGGCUAAAUACGGGUGCGAGACUGGUGGCCAACAAGUACCGUAAGGGAAAGUUGAAAAGAAGUUUGAAGAGAGUUCAAGAGAGCGUAAAAUGGUUGAGCGGUAAACUGGUGGGGUCUGUGCAGUCCGCCCACAGGAUUCAACACGGCAGCCAGGUUGGCCACCUUGAACGGUGGAGGCCCAUGCGGGACUGCGGCCCGGGCACAUCCAGCCCUAGCAGGGUGCAUUUCCUCUGUGGCGGUGCACCACGACCGGCUGGGAAGGCCCCAGGGGGCAGGUGGCUCUCUGCUCCAGCUUUUGCUGUGUCCACAGGGCUGAGGGAGAUAGACUGCCACCGCACCCUUAUCCGGCAACCGUCCUGGCCCCUCUUGGGGGUCGCUAGAGUGGCGAUGGGAGACGGGGCACCCAAUGUGACUGUGGUGGACUGCCCUCAACAGGCCCCGACCACGUUGUGCUACCGGGCAGGGAGGCCCACAAAGGGCACCAGUGGUCUGAGGUAAUGUCGGUUAACCACCCGACCUGUCCGGAAACACUGACCAAAAAGUAUAACACGUGCCCGAGUCAGAAGGCCGAAUGAAACCCUAUGAUGUAAACCCUGUGAUGUAAUGAUGUUGAGGGCCUGUGCUCGCCGAUUGCAGUGGCAUCCUGUCGCAGUGGGCCCUCCACUGACCCGUCUCGCCCGCUCUGUCAGAGAGAUGGUGCAUGAGCGUCUGUGAUAGGAAACCGAAAGAUGGUGACCUCGGCCUGGUGCAGAUCCGUAGCGGUCCUGAUGUGUAAAUCGGUCAUCCGACCUGGGUAUAUGGGCAAAAGACUAAUCGAACGAUACAGUAGCUGGUUCUCUCCGAAGUUUCCCUCAGGAUAGCUGGCGCACAGAAACCCCAGUUUUAUCUAGCAAAGCAAAUGAUUAGAGGUUUUGGGGCCAAAAUUAUCUCAACCUACUCUCAAACUUUAAAUGGUUAUGAAGCCCGGCUCACUGGCGUGGAGCCGGGUAUUGUAUGAAAGUGCUCAGUGUGCAACUUUUGGUAAGCAGAACGGGCGCUGCGGGAUGAACCACACAACCCGGGUCAAGGCGCGUGAUGCAGAUGCUCAUCAGACCCCAGAAACGGUGUUCGUUGAUAUAGACAGCAGGAUGGUGGCCAUGGAAGUCGGAAUCCGCUAAGGAGUGUGUAACAACUCACCUGCCGAAUCAACUAGCCUGAAAAUGGAUGGCGAUGGAGCGUCAGGCCCAUACCCGGCUGGCGCUGAGAGCCGCGGGGGCUAAGUCAGGCGAAUAGGAGGGCUGCUGCGGUACGCACAGAAGCCCGGGGCAAGGGCCCGGGUGGAGCCGCCGCGGUGCAGAUCUUGGUUGUAGUAGCAAAUAUUCAAACGUGAACUUUGAAGGAUGAAGUGGAGAAGAGUUCCAUGUGAACAGAAGUUGAACAUGGGUCAGUCGGUCCUAAGAGAUGGGCGAGUGCCAUUCGGAAGGGAUGGGCUAUGGCCUCCGUUGCCCUCAGCCAAUCGACAGGGAGUCGGGUUCAGAUCUCCGAACCCAGAGUGGCAUAGAUGGGCGCCCUUGCGGCAUCCAGUGCAGUAACACAGAUGAUCCCAGAGAAGCCGGCGCGAGCCGCAGAGAGAGUACUUUUCUUUGUGAAGGGCAGGGCACCCUGGAAUGGGUUUGCCCCAAGAAAGGGGCCCAAGCCUUGGAAAGCGUUGCGGUUCCGAGGGCGUCUGGUUGGCUCUCGCUGGUCCUUGAAAAUCUGGAUGUGAUGUUGUAAAUCUCGCACCAGGCCGUACCCAUAUCCGCAGCAUGUCUCCAAGGCGGACAACCUCUGCAAUGUCAGAAAAAUGUAGCUACGGGAAGUCGGCAAGUUAGAUCCGAACUUCGGGAUAAGGAUUGGCUCUAAGGCUGGGUCGGUCGGGCUGGGGCGAAAAGCAGGGCUGGGUGCGCACCAUGGCUGGAUGAGGCGUCUUUCCCCCCUCUACUCCCCUCUGGAUGCGAGCCGGGCCCUUCCUUGGGAUCACCCCAGCUGCAGUGUUCGCCUCUCUCGUUCCCCCCCCCUCCUGGGGUUCAGGGCCGGCAUUCUGCUUUGGCCGACACCUAGCAUCUGACUUGGAACUGGUGCGGACCAGGGGAAUCUGACUGUUUAAAACAAGCAUAUCGAAGGCCCGUGAAGGGCGUUGACGCAAUGUGAUUUCUGCCAAGUGCUCUGAAUGUCAAAGUUAAGAAAUUCAAUGAAGCGUGGGUAAAUGGCUGGGGGGGCGAGCCCCGUGGGGCUCUCACUUCCCCGUGGCUCAGCGCUCGGCGCUCCGGGCACCACUCGCUCCGGAGACAGUGGCAGGUGGGAGUUUGACUGGGGUGGUACACCUGUCAAAGGAUAACGCAGGUGUCCUAAGGCGAACUCAGGGAGGACAGAAACCUCCCGCGGAGCAGAAGGGCAAAGCUAGCUUGAUCUCGAUUUUCAGUAUGAAUACAGACCGUGAAAGCGGGGCUUCACGAUCCUGCUGACUUUUUGGGUUUCAAGCAGGAGGUGUCAGAAAAGUUACCACAGGGAUAACUGGCUUGUGGGGCCAAGCGUUCAUAGCAACGUCGCUUUUUGAUCCUUCGAUGUCGACUCUUCCUAUCAUUGUGAAACAGAAUUCAAGCAUCGAUUGUUCACCCACUAAUAGGGGAACGUGAGGUGGAUUUAGACCGUCGUGAGACAAGGUUAGUUUUACCCUACUGAUGAUGUGUUGUUGCAAUAGUAAUCCUGCUCAGUACGAGAGGAACCGCAGGUUCAGACAUUUGUGUGUGCAUGCUUGGCUGAGGAGCCAAUGGGGUGAAGCUACCAUCUGUGGGAUUAUGACUGAACGCCUCUAAGUCAAAUCCUCUAAAAUGUCCCCCCUCCCCCCGACUGUGAUACGCAGCGCUGUCGAGCAUCGUUGGCUUAGGAUAGCCGCCUCUGGGGCCGGUGUAUAGAGCCGCUCGCCUCAGGACUUGAGUGUGGACAGAAGGGGGCCACCUCUCUCACCCGUAGUGCACCGCAUGU